RNAcentral lists this ribosomal RNA (424 nucleotides) under Verrucomicrobiota bacterium. RNAcentral describes it as "Verrucomicrobia bacterium partial 16S ribosomal RNA". It matches the Rfam family "Bacterial small subunit ribosomal RNA", at positions 355 to 776 of the family's 1533-position model. The record is from RNAcentral. Lineage: Bacteria; Pseudomonadati; Verrucomicrobiota.
UGAGGAAUAUUGGUCAAUGGAGGAAACUCUGAACCAGCCAAGUCGCGUGAAGGAUGACGGUCCUAUGGAUUGUAAACUUCUUUAGUAGGCGAGUAAGGAUAGGUACGUGUACCUAUUAGAAAGUAGCCUAAGAAUAAGUAUUGGCUAACUCCGUGCCAGCAGCCGCGGUAAUACGGAGGAUACGAGCGUUAUCCGGAUUUAUUGAGUUUAAAGGGUGCGUAGGUGGCUGAUUAAGUCAGUGGUGAAAAGCUAUGGCUCAACCAUAGUCUUGCCGUUGAUACUGGUUAGCUUGAGUGUAGAUGAUGUAGGCGGAACGUGUAGUGUAGCGGUGAAAUGCAUAGAUAUUACGCAGAACUCCGAUUGCGAAGGCAGCUUACAAAACUACUACUGACACUGAGGCACGAAAGCGUGGGUAUCAAACAGG